UUAACUGAAACCAAAAUUGAGGUAUAUUACUGUUAAUAAUAUAAUUGAAUGACUUAUUCCAGUUAAG
This 67-nucleotide transfer RNA is filed under the name Phoetalia pallida. RNAcentral describes it as "tRNA-Asn". Lineage: Eukaryota; Metazoa; Arthropoda; Insecta; Blattodea; Blaberidae. The record is from RNAcentral.